This 400-nucleotide ribosomal RNA is filed under the name phytoplankton environmental sample. RNAcentral's name for it is "partial small subunit ribosomal RNA". It matches the Rfam family "Eukaryotic small subunit ribosomal RNA", at positions 587 to 984 of the family's 1831-position model. The record is from RNAcentral.
AGCUCCAAUAGCGUAUAUUAAAGUUGUUGCAGUUAAAAAGCUCGUAGUUGAAUUUAUUGGCUUGCUUUUGGCGGUCUGCUUCGAAUGAAGUUCGACUAACCGAGCAGCCAUUUCGUCUAUUGAUGUCGUCUGGUCUUCAUUGAUUCGGGCGUCUUAGAUAGGCCGUUUACUGUGAGAAAAUUAGAGUGUUCAAGGCAAGCGUUUUUGCAAUUGAAUAUUACAGCAUGGAAUAAUAAGAUACGACUUUCAGUCUAUUUUGUUGGUUUCUAGGGUGGAAGUAAUGAUUGAUAGGGAUAGUUGGGGGUGCUAGUAUUCAUCGGCCAGAGGUGAAAUUCAUGGAUUCGUUGAAGACUAACUUAUGCGAAAGCAUUCACCAAGGAUGUCCCCUUUAAUCAAGAAC